AGUCGCCAUCUUGGAUAGGGGUAGGAGUCUUGGCUGAGGUCGGACGCCGUGGGCCGAGGUGGGCUUCUGCCGCCGCUCUGCAUCUGCUGAACUGUCCCGCGUACUUCCUGCUGCGGGCCCCAAGCCUGUACAAAAAACCCCACGGAUCUCGCCUCCCUGGGCCCCGGCUCGUGGCGCAGGUCAGAGGAGUUCUGGGGUCAGUCGAGACCCAACGAGGGAGACUGGGGAGGCUGGAGAAACUGCCCUCCUGCCUGCCCUGAACCCUGAGUGGUGGUCCCCAUGGGCCUGAAGCGGUGUGCAGUUCUUGGCCAUUUGGAAGAUGACAGUUCUACCUGCAUGGCUCUCUGCUUCUAAAAGGAGAAGCUCCCUCCCACUCUACCCAGGAGUUUGCUGAACCUGACCACAUGUCCUCAGGGCCUGGAAGCCUGGCUAGGCAGCCAACCCCAUGGCUCGGAGGGGGGGCCUGCUCCUGGGCCUUGCAGUGCUGCAAAGCGAUUCUGUCUGUGCAAUAUCUCCAUGUAGCUCCAUGUGGCCUGGAACUGCAGGAGGAAGAAAGCAUCUACUGCGUAAAGGAAAGAAAGGAAAAUCCAUAGAAAUGGAAACAUAAAAAAUGAAAUAAAAAG
Long non-coding RNA from Cynocephalus volans (Philippine flying lemur), 623 nucleotides. RefSeq lists it as uncharacterized. The record is from RefSeq and is a predicted model, not a curated record. Lineage: Eukaryota; Metazoa; Chordata; Mammalia; Dermoptera; Cynocephalidae. The transcript has 3 exons.